CCUCUCUCCUGUCGGCGGGGAUCGGUUCCAAUGUUCAUCCGACUCAACCGACGCUUUCAGCCUUGCCCGAACUCAACAGAAACAUAUCAGCUGAGAUACAGAAUGCAAGCAGGUGUCCAGAGAAGUUGGCAGCUUUCAAAAAAACUUCAAGGAUGUGCCACAAAACAACCUUGUUCAGAAUGUAGCAUUGUCAGUGACAAAAUUACCUUCGGAGAAUAAUUGUUCAGGAAACAUCGUGUAUUCAAGCACAUCAUUCCUGCUGAAGGAAAGCCAGUUACAAACCAUUAAAAUAUAGAACCUGAAUGUUCUGAGGGAGAAAGUGAGGACUGCAGAUGCUGGAGAUCAGAGCUGAAAAUGUGUUGCUGGAAAAGUGCAGCAGGUCAGGCAGCAUCCAAGGAGCAGGAGAAUCGACGUUUUGGGCAUGAGCCCUUCUUCAGGAUUCAGCAGUGAAUGUUCUGAGGGGUCAGCUUUGAACAACUACAUUUGAAUCUGAGAAUGUUUGCAAAUGGUUACAUUGCUUAUUUCGUCUUGGUGAUUUUACAAGUUUAUUUGAAAGGUGAGCAAGUAGUACAUAACACACGUGCAAUAUAAAUCCAUCCCAAGUAAUGGAGCUCAACGAUGUUCAGCAAAAAGCAUGCAAGAC
Long non-coding RNA from Chiloscyllium plagiosum (whitespotted bambooshark), 643 nucleotides. RefSeq lists it as uncharacterized. Lineage: Eukaryota; Metazoa; Chordata; Chondrichthyes; Orectolobiformes; Hemiscylliidae. The record is from RefSeq and is a predicted model, not a curated record.